RNAcentral lists this ribosomal RNA (492 nucleotides) under uncultured bacterium. Its description in RNAcentral is "partial 16S ribosomal RNA". It matches the Rfam family "Bacterial small subunit ribosomal RNA", at positions 29 to 507 of the family's 1533-position model. The record is from RNAcentral.
AGUGAACGCUGGCGGUAGGCCUAACACAUGCAAGUCGAACGGCAGCACAGUAAGAGCUUGCUCUUACGGGUGGCGAGUGGCGGACGGGUGAGGAAUACAUCGGAAUCUACUUUUUCGUGGGUGAUAACGUAGGGAAACUUACGCUAAUACCGCAUACGACCUACGGGUGAAAGCAGUGGAUCUUCGGACCUUGCGCGAUUGAAUGAGCCGAUGUCGGAUUAGCUAGUUGGCGGGGUAAAGGCCCACCAAGGCGACGAUCCGUAGCUGGUCUGAGAGGAUGAUCAGCCACACUGGAACUGAGACACGGUCCAGACUCCUACGGGAGGCAGCAGUGGGGAAUAUUGGACAAUGGGCGCAAGCCUGACCCAGCCAUACCGCGUGGGUGAAGAAGGCCUUCGGGUUGUAAAGCCCUUUUGUUGGGAAAGAAAAGCAGCAGGUUAAUACCCCGCUGUUCUGACGGUACCCAAAGAAUAAGCACCGGCUAACUUCGUG